Long non-coding RNA from Podarcis raffonei (Aeolian wall lizard), 970 nucleotides. RefSeq lists it as uncharacterized. Lineage: Eukaryota; Metazoa; Chordata; Lepidosauria; Squamata; Lacertidae. The transcript is spliced from 2 exons. The record is from RefSeq and is a predicted model, not a curated record.
GCUAUUUACUCCAGGGCUAGUUAAAGACAAUGUGGACAAAUGCAGACAACCAGCAAGCAGCCACCAUUUUGUGAGUUAAAUAGGGCCAUGCAUAGAAAGAGAAACCGACAUUCCUUCCAUAAUAGAUUAUAUUGUGGGUGCUCUGCUAACAAGAAUGACAUCUGCCGCAAAAAGCGGAGGGGGGGAAACUGAACUAGAAGCCAUCCUACCCACCCUAUAGACCUGUUUUCUAUCCUCACAGCCACAGGAACAGAAAGACGUAUGAUGAGGUCUUUGUCAUCUUCCAGAGGCAAAGGUCACAAUAUAAUUCCAACCAUAUCGACCAAGAUUGACGAGGUUUUAUAUGGACCCAUAAACACACAUUGUGUUGGUCCUGAUCCUGAAGGCAGCUGAGCUAAGUUACAGUACUUUUACUAAACUUCAUAGGUGGAAGAUAGUUCUGAUGGUUUUAUGAACACAAAGGACUGUGCAUUUGAUGGUGAGAAAUAAGUACAUUUCCCCCCCAUCGUUGCCCCUCCAUGCCGGGUACAGCUGUAUCUGCUGUAGCAACUGUCUGCCAGGCACGCUUAAGAAAAAGUUACCAAUUCCACAUUGUAGUAGCUUGAUUCCCACGGAUCAGUGCUGGAUUUGUUGUAGGCCGCCUCUUAGGCAAUGGGGAAUAACCUUGUUUCUUCAUCUCUUGGAAGGUUUUCUGUAGAGAGCCAGGUGAGACACAGGGACAGUAAUGAGUAAUAGUUAGCAACUUCAUCAGUGUCUGGAGGCAACCAAACCAAUCUGGAAUAUUUAUUUUAUUUCUUGAAAAUUGUAUACCACAAAUACCUGCAAAAGCCCUUCUAAGAUGCCAAAGGACAACGUGUAAGAAAUAGUUGAAUGUGGAAGAUUAUUGCCAUAAUUGUAAAAUCCAUUUUAAGUGUAUAAGCCUUGUGGUAUACAAGGUGUAAAUAAAAAUGUCAAUUAUAUUUAAAGCCUA